Pundamilia nyererei is the source of this 109-nucleotide long non-coding RNA. RefSeq lists it as uncharacterized. NCBI's taxonomy places the organism in Eukaryota, Metazoa, Chordata, Actinopteri, Cichliformes, Cichlidae. The transcript is spliced from 3 exons. The record is from RefSeq and is a predicted model, not a curated record.
GCGUUUGCACUGUGAGGGAGCUACAAUUGCUGGUACCAUCAGAAGACACCUGUUGAGUGUGUUUUAUGUCUUCUGCAGGAAUAAAUCGUGAAAAGCCAAUCCUGCUGAG